This 5943-nucleotide long non-coding RNA is filed under the name Sus scrofa (pig). Its description in RNAcentral is "lncRNA (ENSSSCG00065022072.1)". Lineage: Eukaryota; Metazoa; Chordata; Mammalia; Artiodactyla; Suidae. The record is from RNAcentral.
GAGGUUGCCAGGGCAAGACUAAAGAGGAAAUCUCCUGAAUGCACCCCUGGGUAGACACCUGCGUGAUGCCGGGAAGGAAUCUAGGAAAAUCUAGGUCACAGGUGGCUUUAGUUCAUAUCUAAGAGGUCCCAGCUGAUUGGCUCAAUCAAAAGACAGACGCCAGACAGAAGAACUCCAUGUCUCUCCAGCAGGAAACUUGGCAGGCAUGUUGGGUGGUCCUGGCACAUCUGCUAGCUUUCUUCAUGGACUUCCCAUCCCACUUACAAUGAAUCCAAAUGGCUCACCACAGCCUAUCCAGCCCUCCAGGACCUGGCCCUAACCUGCUCCUCUGGUUGCAUCUCCUAUCCCGCUCUCCGCUGCUCCAGGUGCACUGGAACCUGCUGGAAUGUUCCCACCACAGGACUCCAGCUGCGGCUGCUCCUGAGAACAGUCUAAGCAGCAUCUGGUUACACGGCUUUCUCCUUCACCUCAUCAGGUGUUUGCGCUAACACAGCCUCCAUUUCUGACUCCCUUCCUCCAAAGAGCCCACCCUACCCCUUCGCCGCUAUCAUCUUACACUACUUAAUUUUCUUUGUAGUGCUCACUCUCUGAAAUUAUAUUACUUUUGUUGGUUUGUUUGUCAUUCACCUCUUCCACUGGAAUAAUACACACUCCACAAGGACAAAAGUCUAUUCCUCUGCCUGAUUCACCAAAGAAUCUGAAUUUUCCAAAAACCUAUCUGGGCACAGAGGAAGGUCUCAAUAAGUAAAUAUCUGUGGAAUGAAUAAACAGACAUAAAUUUGUCGCACUGACAUAAAUACAUUUUAUGAAAUAAUAAUGAACAUCAUAUGCAAAUCAUCACUGAUAAGAUGAAAGCAGGAGUUCCCACUGUGGUGCGGCAGGUUAAGGAUCUGGCAUGGUCUCUGCACUGGCGCAGGUUCGAUUCUCAGCCCAACACAGUGAGUUAAGGAUCCUGUGUUGCCACAGCUGCAGCUCGGAUUCAAUUCCUGGCCCAGGAACUUCCAUCUACCGAGGGUGAGACCAAAAAAAACCACAGCCAAAGGGCCAAAGGCAUAAGCGUUUGUGUGUUACAUUAUAUGCCAAGAGCCGACUGGCAGAACUGCCUUGGGCACUCCUCUGUUCUUCCUGACCUUAAAAUCCAUUUGAAACGAGGCUCUGGCUGUACCAGUUUGGAAGUCCUCAGAAGUUCACUAAGAUCUUUUUUUUUUUUUUUGGUCUUUUUGCUAUUUCUUGGGCUGCUCCUGAGGCAUAUGGAGGUUCCCAGGCUAGGGGGGGCUGCCCUAAAAAGCAAAAAACAAAACAAAGAAAACAAACACGGUAAUCUUUAAAAUCACAACACAGCCAGUACUACCAUUCAUUUUCGGACAGCAAGAGGAAAAGAGCAUUCUUGUAGCUAGCUUUCACUCUCCAUGGCCUCUUUUCUUUAAGACUAGUAAACUGCACCAUUUAGACCAACCUUCAAGAGUUAAUCCAGUUCCUUCGCUAAGUAGGUGAGUCAUGCUUCCUGUUCCCCAUCUCACAAAGGCCACCCUUCUGCCCAGCACAGCACACAACACCAGAUCUUUCUGGCAAAGGGUGCGGGAGACUCAAGAGCAGAGAUAUUUAUAAACAAGACUUUUGUGGAAGAAAACCUUCAGUGCCACCCAGUAAUACUUGUAUUUUCCAUACUUAGCGUAUAAUUAAAUCCAUGAGAACUAUAAAAUGCAGGUUAACAUGCCUUUUUUUUAUAUCUACUAAAUACAUUUCACUCUUUAAUCCUGAUUUAUACCUUCAGCUUAUAAUUUAGCCCACGUGUAGAACUUUGGUUUUUUUUUUCCCUCCAUCAACCCAGUUUCUUAAGACUCUUAACAGUGCAACACACUCACACUUCAUGAAACAAGUAUUGGAACUAGAGAGUCAAUGGCCAUGCCCCCUUUUGGUCAGGUCCAUCACAGUACACUCAUCCAGCCAAGAAGUCCGAGGAAGCUGAGUGAGUUUGCAAAGUAUGUUAAUAAGGAAGCAACAUAAACUAAGAGGACCCUUGAGUGAAAGGGGGCGUGGUGCCGUCUAAACUCACCACAGCAAACCCUAGGCUCGAAAGGCAACUCAAAGUUUACAACUGUACUUUUACUGGGGCCUUAGAACAACACCGUAAGGUAGAUGGGGCGAAUAUCACUACCUCCAAUUUUAAGGACCAGAAAAUCAGAUCAAAGAAUGCUGGAUCCCAGGAGGGGGCAGAAGUAGGAAUAAAAGUCACAUCUCCUCUUUUCUUGUCUAUUCAUUCUCCUCCUACCAUAUCAUUUGACCUCUCACGUACAAUGACCAGCCUGGAAAAAUGAUGCUGGUAAAUUCACCCCAGACCCCUCAACUUGUACCCCCUACUCCCCUUUUUUUAAUCCUCUUAUAGGAGCUUAUUACAUGAAAAGAAAUCAGGAAAGCAGAACUGAAACUUAAAGCUUAUUCCACUGAUAAGGAUACUUAUACAGGAAGCAAUAAAUUACCAUUGCUUCCUGUUUUCAAGUAUUCUUAUCUGUAGGACACUACAUUUUUUUCCACCACAGAAUCUCACAUUUAGGACACUUCCCGAAAUAGAAUCUUCUGAUCUUCAGCUGUCAGCUGAAGUUGUUUCAUAAAUAGCCCAGCAUAUGUACUCCGGAGGCUUGCUAACACUCUAAAUGCAAAUAUAGUCCAGUCACACCAAUUCCUCUUAGGCUCUGGUGACAAUUGAGAACGUACAAAAUCCAGCAGCCCCAGAAAUUCUAUGGAGGAGCCCAAGAAUGUCUGUAGUCAAUGACCUGUAGAACUCUAUUGGGACAUUUCUGGAAAUUUUGAAAUAAAAGCCAUGAGCUUUUAUAUAUAUAUAUAUCUCCCUACAUUUAAUAUAUGGUUCAUAAAGAACCUACGAUUUGUUUCAGGUCAGUUAAUUUUUAAAUAAUUUUACAAACAGCUUUUAUCCAAAGAUUCAUUUUGGUGAAAAGAAUAAGCAUAAAGAAACCCCUGGAUCCUGUAUUUUAAACAACUUUUCCAGAGGCUUUGCUAGUCAACAAGUACAGACAGCAAACGUGAUUAUAAGGGAAUGAGUUUGAAAAAUUGCUCAUGUAACCCAAGGUUAAAUACAUGGAGACGCACACACAUACGGAGGUAUAAAAAUGCCUAACUCUAAUCUUUAUGAUCUAGUACGUCAGGAAUUCUAUUGCCAGAAUUACACAACAAGCUGAGACCAUUUCAGAGAGAAAGAGGGAAAAAAAAAAAAAAUCAAUGUCUGUGUUUUAAAGGGGAAAAAAAAAGGGACUGCAGGGAAUGGGACCAUGAGGCAUAAAUGGCCUGGGAUUUUAUCAUCUGUCUUUUGUGUCCUGGUAACCAAACAAAACAUCUGUGCCUGUAUGGCCCCCUUAUCACUCCCUCCUCUAAUAACCUGCCCUACACUCACCCCAGGUGGGUAAGAAGGGAUUUUACCUGUGUUGAUGGAAGCUUAAGAGAAGAGUCUUAAGGUUGAUCUCACUUUGAAUAUAAUAAAAAAUAUGGUUGAGUGUCUUUUGGGUUUCUUUGCAUUAAAAAAAUUUUUUUAUUAUGAUUGAUUUACAGUGUUCCAUCAAUUUCUGCUGUACAGCAAAGUGACCCAGUCAUAUACAUAUGUACAUUCUUUUGAGUGUUGACUCUAUAAAUAUGCUCUUCAAGCCCCUUUAAGCCAAUUGCCAAGAAGCUGCCUUUUUCACACAAAGGUGAUAAACACAGAUUCACACAGAGGGGCCCCUUUAUGAGCCUGGGAAUAAUUCCGAAGUCCAGGAAGGAAACCGCUGUCCCCAGACUACAGAUCCAAACAGGCAGGAGGGCCUGAUCAGUUCCAUAUUCCCAGGGGAUGCCCAGAAUGGCUGAUGACCAAAUUCACAGGCACUUGAUUAACCUGAUUCUCUAAGAAACAAUUAUUAUAAGGAAAAAAAGAGGUGGAAUUUUAUAAAUAGCUAUUGUAAGACAAUAUUAUAAAAUAAUUUUUAAAAAAGACUACCAGUAGAAGGAUUCAAAUAACUCUGUUUAAAAAAAAAAAAAAUCCAUAUAGCUAGGUCCUUGAAGGAAGAGAGCUUAAGAAGGUUCUGAUCAGAGUGGCUCCAAGAUGAUGCAAAAAUCUAUGUUCUGCUGUCAUGGAUCAAAUAAACGCUGAUACAGAGAAGAUUAUCAUGGGAAGAACUGGACAAAUUAGGAAGCAAAUCUCCUGGGUUGGUCUGAAACACUACUCCAGAAUGUUGGCCAAUUCUGGGCAGGAAAAAGAUCUGGAAUACUUUAGAGGUUUUGGAAAGAACCGCAAAAUUGUUUGAAAGUUUGAGAAAUCCGAGUGAUGACUAAAACCUGAUGAUGGUUAAUAUUAAGGGAAAACUGAGCGCUGACUUCACAAAGGUCUUCGAACACAGGGAGUGAAACAUCCCAUAAGAGGUCAGGGGGCUGGAUAAACAGACUAUGGUACAUCCAUACAGCGGAACAUUACUCGGCAAAGAAGAGAAAUGAACUACCAAGCCAUUACAGAAAGGGCUUGGAUGAAUCUUAAGAGCAGACUUCUCAGUAAAAGAAGCCAGUCUGAGAAACGGAUGGACUGUGUGAGUCCAAUCAUAGAACAUUCUGGAAAAGGCAAAAACCCGACAGAGAUGAUAAACAGAGCAGUGGUUUAUCCCCAGAGGUUGGGGAGAGGGAGGAGGUUUGAAUAGGGAAGUACAGGAAAUUGUUAAGGGAGUGAAACUAUUUACAUGAUAUUAUAAUGGUAAAUAAGACCAUAAGGGUUUGUCAAAACUUAAAACUUUAUGGCAAAAAUAGUAAACCUUAAGUGUAUGAAAAAACAUUUUUUUUUUCCCACAGGUAGACUGCAGAAUGUAACUGAAGCAUCUAAAUGUUUACAGAUGUGUAUGUACAUAGAUUAGUACACACACAGGUAGGCCUUGCUCUGGCAACUCAGAGGGCAAAGGAGAGCAAAAACUACAUCUAGCGCCCAGAUCUUGGUUUCUGAUUCUCCAAUAAAAGGAACCAGGGCUCCUUGGAGGAAUGGAUGAUGCUAAGACUGGGGGAGGAAAUAAAAUAAGAUGAUCAUGGGAGUUCCCGUCGUGGCUCAGCAGUUACCCAACCCGACUAGGAUCCAAGAGGAUGUGGGUUCAAUCCCUGGCCUUGGUGAGUUAAGGAUCAAGGGUUGCUGUGAGCUGUGGUGUAGGUCACGGACUCGGCGCAGAUCUGGCCUUGCUGUGGCUGUGGCUGUGGCUGUGGCGUAGGCCAGCAGCUGUAGCUCCGAUUGGACCCCUAGCCUGGGAACCUCCAUAUGCCUCAGGGGCAACCCUAAAAAGCAAAUAAAUAAAUAAAUAAAUAAGAUGGUCACGGAAUAUCUCAUAAUAACAGAAAGUAAGGAAAUGCAUUUUAAAAAUAGUACUGAGUUUAAAAUGAAUGAUAAAACAAGUUUAGGUAAUUAUGAAAAUAUUCAUGAAUUCUGCUCUCUAAAUGGUUUCCAAACACCUGCAAAUUGUCUGGCCACUUUGAAGAACCACCAAUUUUAGUUGAUGAAUUAUUGAUUUGUUUAAUAGAAAAGCUGGAUGAUGCAAAUUUUCUUUUAGAGGCAACGAACUCCACAAUUAAAUUUCAGCAAAUGAAUACAUAUUAUAUUUGAAACUCAGAAAGUCAUAUUCGGUUUCAUGAGAACUGUGUGAUCACUUAAGAAACACUUUACAUUUAUGGCUAUUUUUUCCCAAGAAUUUCUGUUUAAAUUCAUUUCCAGUUUUACUUCCUCUUUUAGCAAACUCAUUAAUAACAGUACCAAGGUUGGUUACGAUUUCCUGUUUCAUCUUCUGCGCAUUUAAAUGUAUUCAUUGUGUUUUAUUUUUCAUUUGUUUUUAGAACCUUACUGUACCUUAAAGGAGUUUUUUUUUUUUAACUACGUAAAUUUAAAUCUUCUGACAAAAAUAUCAUUUAUAUCUUCAACUUAAAAAAAAAAAA